RNAcentral lists this ribosomal RNA (220 nucleotides) under uncultured bacterium. RNAcentral's name for it is "partial 16S ribosomal RNA". It matches the Rfam family "Bacterial small subunit ribosomal RNA", at positions 524 to 743 of the family's 1533-position model. The record is from RNAcentral.
UACGGGGGGGGCUAGCGUUAUUCGGAAUCAUUGGGCGUAAAGGGCGCGUAGGCGGCGCGGUAAGUCAAAGGUGAAAUCCCUCGGCUCAACUGAGGAACUGCCUUUGAAACUGCCGUGCUUGAGUCCGGGAGGGGGUAGCGGAAUUCCCAGUGUAGCGGUGAAAUGCGUAGAUAUUGGGAGGAACACCAGUGGCGAAGGCGGCUACCUGGACCGGUACUGA